RNAcentral lists this long non-coding RNA (3835 nucleotides) under Homo sapiens (human). RNAcentral describes it as "HSALNT0003375". The record is from RNAcentral. Lineage: Eukaryota; Metazoa; Chordata; Mammalia; Primates; Hominidae.
GCCACCCCGCGGAGGAGGCCCCAGUGCCACAGCCCAGGGCCCCCGAGAGCUCUGGGAGCCCGGGGCAAAUGCUAGAAAUUUGCUUAGAACGUCCGGGUCCCACGGAAGGCGCCCUUGCCGCCCUCUCUCGGGUCGUAGCUCCCUGACGCUGGGGCGCAACCCCUUCGCUCCUCCUCCCCGCUGGCCGCGGCCGGGCUUCCCCAGCUCUUGCUGCUUCGGGCCUGUGACUUCUGCAACCCCGGGCUGGGGGCCGCGGGGUCUCAGGGCCGGUGACGCCGCACUGGGAGCCGCCCCAAAGAGGUUACUCACCUCCCUCGUCCCGCACAUUAUUCUGACCCAAGAGCCUCCACCCCACACGGGAUUUUGCGCGUCGUCCACGCCCGGCCGGCGGCCUUUGCUGCUCCCAGCCCUGCGCGGCUUUGGUCCCAGCCUCGGUGGCCCCUGUGCCAAACCGGGGACAGGCGGAAGGGAGUCUCCUAGGGACCCUAAGUAGCCUGGGGCCAACAACCCCUUUCCUCUCUGCUCUCCCCUCAAAACAAGUUUCAGGAUCUUGCAGGCCUCGCGGCGUCGUUCUUCGUUGUGGCGGCCUGUGGCUCUUUGAAAAACACGACGAGGCCUGCAAAAUGCGUUUUUCUUUUUUUCCUUUACGCAUGUAACCACGGUCCUGCAUCGUGAAACGGUACGCGCGUCGGUGGCAAAAGAAAAACAGCAGUGGCUGCAAAGCUAAGGGCCCUCGCUUUCAGAGGAGAGAAUUUUCUUUCUCCAUGCGGGUGGAAAGUGGCCUCUGCGGGUCCAACCCCACUUCUUCUUGGGCCCGUGCGCUCCGGCUGCGCCGCAGGGACCGCGGACAGCUUCGCCAAGGCACUGCCUGCCCGCCCGGCUCCGGGUCCCCGCUCCCACUCCCAGCCGCGUGGCCCAACCUCUCCUGGGCUUCACUGCAAAUCACCCCUUCCUCUCCCGCCUCCUAAGUCUGUCGAGCAGACCUAGGGGCCGGCUACAGUUGGGAGGGCAACGGGAAAGAUCAAGCCACAAUCAUUCCGAAUUAUCGCCCCAGACACCUCCCUAGACUCUGGGGAACGAACGCGUGCUGAGCCUCCCCGCCGCUUUGGAGACGGGGCUAGAUUUUCGUUGCCUCCGGCUCUCGACAGGUGCAAAACAAUGAAUUCCAAGCCUCGGAAGCAAAGAAGCUUAGGAUCCGACGGUGGCCGCAAGAUCUCAUCAUGGAUCUGACCCCUGCUCAGCGCGCGCCAUUUCGUCGUUGCCAAACGAAAUCAAGCCCCGCGUGCGCUCCAGGGGCGAAGGACUCUGGACUCACCCCGACCACCGGGAGAGCUGGCCCCUACCCACCUCGGGACCUCACAGCACGCCCUCAGGCCGUGUCGAAAGGAAGGACGGCAAAGGUCCCUUACUGAACCUUUUAAGAGAGCCUGCGCCUGGCAGUUGUCGAUUGCGGACCCAGGCCCGCGCGCCCUCGGACGCGCUGGCACGAGCAGCAGAACUAGAGGAAAGCGAGUGAUCCAGCCUGGGCGCUCCCACCUCCGGGAACGUCUCCGAGAAGGCGCAGCGCGUCGUGGCCAGUGAGAAGGGCUGAAUAUCACCUGUGAGCCUGCCCCUGCUCCCAAGAACACCCUUUGGACACCUGUGGGCUCUGCAAGGUUGGUGUAACCCCUACAGAUGAGGAAACCAGAGACAGAGAAGUGAAGUAACUCAUGCAGGUGACGGCAGAGGGCAGAGUCAGGACUUGAACCUGGAGAGCCUGGCUCUAAAGCCCAAGCUGGAAUCUCGAUACUCUACACCUCGAUAAGUUUUUGGGAAAUGACUGACUAAACAGAUGAACGCGUUUGCCCCCCCGCCGCCCCAGAGCCCCCUUAAAGCCUACAUGUGGCAGUUUGGGCCCAUUUCCUUGGCUUCCCUCCCUGGAGGGGCACCCACUGCCAGUGUCCCUGGGGCGGUGAUUUCAGAAAACCUGCUGGCUCCAUCACACUUUGCUCAGGGACUGAGAUGGGAUGGCAUUUGGAAGACACAGCUGAAAUUUAGCAUCAUAUUCCAUGGCGAUUUUCCACCAGUGGAAAUCACAGGUGUUCUCUGGUAUCACAGCGGGGUCAGGGAUGACCUGAAAUAUUGUUCAUGCUCAUCACAACUGCAUGGCCCACCGCGGGGUCUUGUCACUCAGUGAGUUCUUGAAGAGGCACAGACAAAUGGAGUUCAACAAAUGGAAAACAACUGCCUUUAAUUAGCUCCGAGGACUACAAAGGGAACAACGUUAUAAUAGCAGCAACUCCAAGGAAGCAGCCACAGCUCUCAGCUCUCAGACCUGGGGCUGCCGCUCAUCAUCAGCUACAGCUAGGUUUGAUGGGAGUGCCCCCAUUUCAGGGGACAGCAGGCCCCCUUCACUCCCCGACUCAGUCCCCAUCUGCAGCAGCACAGCCUUCCUUGGCCUCACCAGGGAAGAAGAACAGGCCCCGCUCUCAGACAAGCCUUCCCAGAAGCCUGAGGACUCAAACACCCAAAUGUGUCUGGGUCCCUGCCCCGAGCCGGCCACCCAGGCAGCAGCCCUGAAUCACUCGGUCAGCCAGCGGCAGGGCAGGCCAAUGGGCUGGAGGGUAGGCAGGCAGGCAGACCCACCUCUGCAUCUCUGCUGACUGCCUCGGCUGAGGAAAGGCAGCACCAGCCCCCAACCCUGAAGUUCUAGAUCUCAUGCAGCCUCUCUGUUCUGGAACCAUCCAGAGGCACUGCCCUUAUACAUGGUCCACCCCCAGGCUCAGACAAUGAGAAUUCCACAAGCAGAGGGGACUCUAUUUGGGGCACAGAGAGGUUAAGUAACUCCCCUCCUAAGGUCUCUCAGCAAGGAAGCCACUGAGCCGUGGGACUUGAGCUCAGGGACUCUUGAUCCCCAGUCUCAGGUGUCACAGCCCCAUCUGGGCUCCUGCUAGGGAGGAGGAAGGCAGCAGGGGGUGUCUGAGGCCAGGGUGCAUCAGCCCUAAAUGCCAGACAGAGGCAGGAGAAGUCUCCCCAUGAGUCCCAGCCCCAUUAGAGGCUCCAGGUCGGGGAUCCCAGACCCCCUAUCCUUGCUGGGAGACACAACCCAGAACUCUGCAUCCCUGCAGCCACCAAAAAAGGCAAAAGCUGCCCAGAAACACUUUCUCCUCUUCCGUGGCCAAAUCCACGAACUUUCUCGAGGUCUGUCCCCCUGCCCCGUGCAGGUCCAGCUUCAGUGCAGCCCAGCUCUGUGCAGUUUUCCACAAAAGCCUGUGGCUUCCUUCUCCUCCCUCUGCUUCUGAUACCCCAGGAGUUACACACAAAAUGUUGGCGGUGGUCUCCAGGAAGACCCCUGCAUCCCACAGCUCUCCCCAGAAGUUGCCAGCAGUGACCUCCUGAGCCCAGGUGGGGAGUCCCAGGCAGGACAGGGGCUGGGGCUGCAGGCCCUGGGGCCCUGUUAGUGAAGCAGCAAGCCGAGGGUCCCUGAGAGUUUCCCUUGGCCCCUCUGAGGGCUGCCCUUUGAGGUCUUGAGGUCUUGGAGUAUCCAUCGCCCCCACGGCUUACUGUCCCCACCAGCGGAGGAUGAAAGUGCCACAGCGAUGUUCCACGCCAAGAGACCACAGAGACCACCAACCCCUCUUCCCACCUCAGGCUUUCAGAGGCCAGCGGAUUUAGGCGGACAGGCUGUGCGCUUGAGGGCAGCCAGGGCGGUCAGUGGAGGGACGUGGUCCGGGGCCUGGCCACAGCUCCCCACCCAGGGCCCUGGGCUAUUGUUACUCACCGCGGAUGAAGGUCGGCGAGUAGGUCGGGAAGGAGUCGAAGAUGCUGUUCGAUGCCAUGCCCCGCUCUGAAGAAG